CUCCUUCCCAUCCCGAACAGGACAGUGAAACGACUUUGCGCCGAUGAUAGUGUGGAUUACCCAUGCGAAAGUAGGUCACCGCCAGGC
Molecule: ribosomal RNA, 87 nt
Filed under: Sulfurirhabdus autotrophica
Lineage: Bacteria; Pseudomonadati; Pseudomonadota; Betaproteobacteria; Nitrosomonadales; Sulfuricellaceae
Source: RNAcentral